This 790-nucleotide ribosomal RNA is filed under the name uncultured Thermoproteales archaeon. Its description in RNAcentral is "bacterial SSU rRNA". It matches the Rfam family "Archaeal small subunit ribosomal RNA", at positions 85 to 879 of the family's 1478-position model. Lineage: Archaea; Thermoproteati; Thermoproteota; Thermoprotei; Thermoproteales. The record is from RNAcentral.
ACKGCUCAGUAACACGUCGGUAAUCUGCCCUAAGGUCAGGGAUAACCUCGCGAAAGUGAGGGUAAUACCUGAUAGGGAAAUUCGUCUGGAAGGACUUUUUCCCAGAAACUCGUGCCUUAGGAUGAGCCGGCGGCGGAUUAGGCAGUUGGCGGUGUAAUGGACCACCAAACCGAAGAUCCGUACGGGCCAUGAGAGUGGGAGCCCGGAGAGGGACACUGUGAUACUGGUCCCAGGCCCUACGGGGCGCAGCAGUCGCGAAAACUUCGCAAUAAGCGAAAGCUUGACGGGGCUAUCCCGAGUGCCGUCUGCUGAAGAUGGCUUUUACCUAGUGUAGAUAGCUGGGGGAAUAAGGGGAGGGCAAGUCUGGUGUCAGCCGCCGCGGUAAUACCAGCUCCCCGAGUGGUGGGGAUGAUUAUUGGGCCUAAAGCAUCCGUAGCCGGCUGGACAAGUCCCCUGUUAAACCCAACGAUCCAAUCGCUGGUCUGCGGGGGAUACUGUCCGGCUAGGGGGCGGGAGAGGCCGCCGGUAUUUCCGGGGUAGGGGUGAAAUCCUAUAAUCCCGGGAGGACCACCAGUGGCGAGGGCUGUCGGCUAGAACGCGCCCGACGGUGAGGGAUGAAAGCUGGGGGAGCGAACCGGAUUAGAUACCCGGGUAGUCCCAGCUGUAAACGAUGCAGGCUAGGUGUUAGGGCGGCUACGUGCCGCUCUAGUGCCGCAGGGAAGCUGUUAAGCCUGCCGCCUGGGGAGUACGGCCGCAAGGCUGAAACUUAAAGGAAUUGGCGGGGGAGCAC